This is a non-coding RNA of Rattus norvegicus (Norway rat), 2749 nucleotides long. The record is from RefSeq and is a predicted model, not a curated record. NCBI's taxonomy places the organism in Eukaryota, Metazoa, Chordata, Mammalia, Rodentia, Muridae.
GUUAUUGCUAGUGCUGGUCUCUCAGAGCAUUAGUCAGAACUCCUGCACACCUCUGGCAGCCAGAUUCCCACAGGAGUUCAGCCUUUCAAGGCUGGGUUCUUAAAACUGCCAAGUAAACCAUUCUCAUAACCAGUGUGAGGCUCCAUGUUGCUGGUGUGCGGAGGGAGCUGGCUAUGAAGUACGGACUAGGGAUGGCUACAGCUCUACCCUCUGGAAAAAUGGAAAAUGGGAACUGAGGAAGUAACUGCCAUCACCUGCUCCUUUGGUGGUAUGCUUUCUCGGGAAAAACAUUUCUGUUUAGAGAAAGGUGAACAAUAUAGAAUUUGGCUAUUUUAUAUGUAUGUAUACUUGACCAACAACAAAUUUUGGUGCUCUUAAAUGUUUAUACCGAAUGCUCCCACACCCCAAAUCAAUUUAAGAUACUGUUUAGGAAAGUAUCUGAAAACAUUUGACUUGUUUUGGAAAGUGUACAUAUUUUUCUGACGUGCACAUUUUCAGUAUCCCACUCUUGACAUAGCAGAAGUGUUCGCUUGAGCCCCAGCAUUGCAGGUGCUAUGGACUGGCUACUCGGGCGGCGUGAGGAGUGGCUGCACACCACAGACCUCUGCUCAGGAGCGGGUAAGCCAGGCUCUUGGUGAAGAAAGUGCCACCAUAAGAAAUGGUAAAUUUGGGCCGAUGCCUCCUUCUUCACAAGAGGUCCAUGGGAAUGUUGUUGUGGAAGUAAAGGCAAACUUUAGAGAUGACAAUCUAAAUCCUGGAAGCUCCAAGACUCAUCCCAGGACCAUUCUGGACUCACAGAAUUCCCUAAGGAAAGCCGAGCCAUUAGCGACCAUGUAGCAUCAGUACCACUUCAAGGACGAAGAUCACGGGCAUCCUGAAGUGUUGUGAGAUGGCUAAGAUGAGAUGGGUGAGAACUCCAAGCACUGCAUUCACACCGUGUGACAAUGUCCCUCAGCUGAGGUUGGCAGGUUAAAUGGAGGCCAAUCAAUCCAAGUUAAAUCAAUUACAUUCCCUUGAGAAGCUUCAAACUAGGGAACCCGGCACCACAGCUUCUGAGAGCCAUUACUGCUAAUCACAUCAACAGCGUUGCCUUAUUAGAGAAGACACCCUCCACCCUUGUUGCUUUGUUUCUGAGGCAGGGUCUCUAAUUGUCCUGGAACUCACCAAAUCCAGUAGGGGCUGAAUGAGCCCCAGAGUUCACCUGGGUCUGCUAGGGUGACAAGCAUCUAGUAUCCCCGAAUGGUUUUAUUUGGGGUUUUCUUUAGAGUUUUAGGACCGAUGUAUGCAUACUUGGGUAACAGCUUAGUUCUUUUUUCUAUUUUUAUACUUCGCAUACAUGUAGUUCUAUUUCUAUGUGACAACAUUCCUUUGUAUAUUCUUUCAGUAUCAUGUCCAUUGGUAGUUCAUUUGUACAUGUUGCUAAUUCUUCCACUGCGAUACAGUAUUUCAACAUAUGACCACACUGUUAACACAUGCACUUGAAUAUAUACUUCACUAGAACACACACACACACACACACACACACACACAGAGGGAGAGAGGGAGAGAGAGAGAGAGAGACAGACAGACAGACACAGACACACGCACACACAGAGAGACAGACAGACAGACACAUGCACACACACAGAGUGAGAGACAGACAGACAGACACACACACGCACACACAGAGAGACAGACAGACAGACACAGACACAUGCACACACAGAGAGACAGACAGACACAGACACAUGCACACACACAGAGUGAGAGACAGACAGAGAGACACAGACACACGCACACGCACACACACAUGCACACACACACAGAGACAGACAGACAGACAGAUGCGCACACGCGCGCACACACACACACACACACACACACACACACACACACACACACACACACACCACACUGAGCACCUAGGGGUUGGGGCCAGGGCGGUGACGAAGAGGGAGGUAGUUUAAAAAAUCCUAAGUGAAAUUCUAAAGGAAAUUAAUUCCAAUGUGUCUCUUGCCAAUCAAUUUUAAUAUUAACUAGUUCUCACGCAGCUUUGAAGAAAGGUCAUUUAAUUUCUAGAUUUAUCUUUCUGCAGAGUUAAAUCCCUGCACAUUGACCAACUAUAAGCUAUGACACUAGCUACAUCUUAGCUUACUCUUUUAAUUCUGCGAUUCUCCGUAGAUUAAUUGAGGUUGCUUCCCCCUAAAUCAGUCCCCAGCACACAUUUUUACAUAAGAGCAUUUUUCUUUUUGAUAGAGCCAAUAUUGCAUAUACUGAAAGAAGAAAAGGUUCUUUCAAAAUUUAAAGCAAUUCUGCAUCAAAAGAGUUUCAACUUAACACAAAUCAAGGCUGUAAAAUAAAAAAAAAUAUUGUUAAUUUUGUAGCCAAAUUAAGGAAUGCAAUCACAAGUAAUAAAAGAUCAAUCUUAAAAGGAUUUUAAGUCCAACUUCCAAGUCUUGAGUGUUUUGAUUAUCACCAGCGUAUGAGUGUAGAAAACCAUUUCUACACUCAAUAGUGUGUUGGUGUCAAUAGUGUGGCACCGACAGAAUGUGCUUACCGUUGUCAUUCCUCCUGGAUGACAAACAGCAACUACAUCCUUCCUGUACCCAAAACUUCCCACAUGCUAGUCACACGCCUAUGUUAGUCUGUCAAGGCAAUUUGACGAAGGAGAUACUGCUAUUCCUCCCGUCAUAUAAGAAGAAACUGAGGCACAGUAAGGGAAAGUAAGUUCCCACAUCUGUGAGUUGAGGCUGCCUCAGGCAGGUGCGAU